RNAcentral lists this ribosomal RNA (513 nucleotides) under Scabina antipoda. RNAcentral describes it as "partial 16S ribosomal RNA". The stretch from base 386 to 513 matches the Rfam family "Bacterial large subunit ribosomal RNA", at positions 2473 to 2600 of the family's 2925-position model. The record is from RNAcentral. Lineage: Eukaryota; Metazoa; Arthropoda; Insecta; Blattodea; Blattidae.
CUCUUCUUGAUUUAUUAAUUUGAAGUAUAACCUGCCCACUGAUAUAAAUUUUUGAAGGGCCGCGGUAUUUUGACCGUGCAAAGGUAGCAUAAUCAUUAGUCUUUUAAUUGAAGACUGGAAUGAAUGGUUGGACGAAAAAUAAACUGUUUCUUAAAUAUUAAUUUGAAUUUAAAUUUUAAGUUAAAAUGCUUAACUUUUUUUAUGGGACGAGAAGACCCUAUAGAGUUUAAUAUUUUUUAUUAUUAUUUUGUUUGUUAUAAAAUUUUAUUUUAAUUUUUAUUUUGUUGGGGUGAUGGGAAGAAUUAAUAAACUCUUCUUUUUUUUAUAUAUUUAUAUAUAAUUUUUUGAUCCAUUUUUGAUGAUUAUAAGACUAAAUUACCUUAGGGAUAACAGCGUAAUCUUUUUUGAGAGUUCUUAUCAAUAAAUGGGUUUGCGACCUCGAUGUUGGAUUAAGAUUUAAUUUGGGUGUAGCAUUUCAAUUGUUUAGGUCUGUUCGACCUUUAAAAUCUUACA